CAACAGGGAUUGCCCUAGUAACGGCGAGUGAAGCGGCAACAGCUCAAAUUUGAAAUCUGGCCUCGGCCCGAGUUGUAAUUUGCAGAGGAUGUUUCUGGCGCGGUGCCUUCCGAGUUCCCUGGAACGGGACGCCACAGAGGGUGAGAGCCCCGUAUGGUUGGACACCAAGCCUGUGUGAAACUCCUUCGACGAGUCGAGUAGUUUGGGAAUGCUGCUCUAAAUGGGAGGUAAAUCUCUUCUAAAGCUAAAUACCGGCCAGAGACCGAUAGCGCACAAGUAGAGUGAUCGAAAGAUGAAAAGCACCUUGAAAAGGGGGUUAAACAGUACGUGAAAUUGUUGAAAGGGAAGCGCUCAUGACCAGACUUGUGCCGGGCGGUUCAUCCGGGGUUCUCCCCGGUGCACUCCGCCCGGUUCAGGCCAGCAUCGGUUCUCGUUGGGGGAUAAGAACGGUAGGAACGUGGCCCUCCCUCGGGAGGGUGUUAUAGCCUGCCGUACGAUACCCUGAUGGGGACCGAGGUUCGCGCUCCGCAAGGAUGCUGGCGUAAUGGUCAUCAGCGACCCGUCUUGAAACACGGACCAAGGAGUCGUCCAUUAGAGCGAGCGUUUGGGUGUAAAACCCGCACGCGUAAUGAAAGUGAAAUUAGGUGAGAGCUUCGGCGCAUCAUCGACCGAUCCUGAUGUUCUCGGAUGGAUUUGAGUAAGAGUUUUAACGGACGGACCCGAAAGACAGUGAACUAUGCUUGUAUAGGGUGAAGCCAGAGGAAACUCUGGUGGAGGCUCGCAGCGGUUCUGACGUGCAAAUCGAUCGUCAAAUAUGAGCAUGGGGGCGAAAGACUAA
Molecule: ribosomal RNA, 838 nt
Filed under: Harknessia karwarrae
Lineage: Eukaryota; Fungi; Ascomycota; Sordariomycetes; Diaporthales; Harknessiaceae
Description: eukaryotic LSU rRNA
Rfam family: Eukaryotic large subunit ribosomal RNA
Source: RNAcentral